RNAcentral lists this ribosomal RNA (254 nucleotides) under uncultured bacterium. RNAcentral's name for it is "partial 16S ribosomal RNA". It matches the Rfam family "Bacterial small subunit ribosomal RNA", at positions 524 to 776 of the family's 1533-position model. The record is from RNAcentral.
UACGUAGGGGCCGAGCGUUGUCCGGAUUUAUUGGGCGUAAAGAGCUCGUAGGUUGUUCGCUAAGUCGGAUGUGAAAACUCGGGGCUCAACCCCGAGACGCCAUCCGAUACUGGCGUGACUUGAGUCUGGUAGGGGAGAUCGGAAUUCCUGGUGUAGCGGUGAAAUGCGUAGAUAUCAGGAGGAACACCGGUGGUGUAGACGGCUCUCUGGACCGUAACUGACGCUGAGACACGAAAGCGUGGGUAGCAAACAGG